Molecule: ribosomal RNA, 152 nt
Filed under: Pseudomonas sp. AAC
Lineage: Bacteria; Pseudomonadati; Pseudomonadota; Gammaproteobacteria; Pseudomonadales; Pseudomonadaceae
Description: partial 16S ribosomal RNA
Rfam family: Bacterial small subunit ribosomal RNA
Source: RNAcentral
GAACUGAAGAGUUUGAUCAUGGCUCAGAUUGAACGCUGGCGGCAGGCCUAACACAUGCAAGUCGAGCGGAUGAGGGGAGCUUGCUUCCUGAUUCAGCGGCGGACGGGUGAGUAAUGCCUAGGAAUCUGCCUGGUAGUGGGGGACAACGUUCC